RNAcentral lists this transfer RNA (72 nucleotides) under Rattus norvegicus (Norway rat). It matches the Rfam family "tRNA". Rfam says of the family: Transfer RNA (tRNA) molecules are approximately 80 nucleotides in length. The record is from Rfam by way of RNAcentral. Lineage: Eukaryota; Metazoa; Chordata; Mammalia; Rodentia; Muridae.
GGAGGGGUGGCUCAGUGGUUAGAGUACUAGCUGUGCUUGCAGAGGACCAGAGUUCAAUUCCCUGCACUUACA